ACUGAGGCCCCCAAUCCAAAAUUAAAACUCUUUCCAUUCUUCCACACUGCCUCAAUAGGUGAGCAGUGGGACUGGAAGACCUCUAAAAUCCCUUUGAUCUCUUAGAUUUAUGAUUGGGGAAUUCCUAAAAUUUAAAAAAAGAACCUUUUUAAAAUGAGCUAUCUUCUCCUCUCUUACUUAGACUAUCUAGAGCCAUGCUUGGCUUGAACUCUAUGCUACCUGAGAAUGGGAACUUCAUCUUACUACUAAAGGGCACGGAGUACGGCUCUGAGGCAACAUUUGGACAUUUGCAGUGAUCUCCUGGGGAGCCUGUACUUUUCCAGGUGAGCAAGCCCCACUUUCAGGUCCACUUCUAUCCCUUCUUUCAUUGACAAAGGAUCAUAGGCGCAUCGAUUUCAAAUUUUGAGGGAUUGUAGAGGUCAUCUGGCCUGUCUCUUACAUUUUAUAGAUGAGGAAAAUAAGGCUCAGAGACAUCAAAUGACUUCCUCAAGGUGACACAUUUAGUAGGUAGCAAAUCCAAGAUUUAACCCAGGUCCUCUGACUCUGAAUCCAGCCCUCUCUUAAUUUCAUCGUAUCUAUUGAUGCCAUUCCAUACCUCUCCUCUGGAAGUCUAAUGCCAGAAGCCUGGUAACCCAAAAUCCAUUUCAUUCUCAGUAAUAUGAGAAUGUGUCCUGCCUAUUUUAAGGAGAGAGUCUGAUCAUAAACCUAGUUUGAGAGUCCUGCUAACAGAUUUCAGUACUUUCUCUUAUGUGUGUGUGUGUGUGUGUGUGUGUGUGUGUUUCUUUUGUUCUGUUUCUUCUUCACAAUGUGACUAAUAUGGAAAUAUGUUUUACAUGAUUGCACAUAUAUAACCUAUAUCAAAUUGGUUACCAUCUUAGGGAGGGAGGAAAUGAAGAAGGAAGAGAGAAUUUGGAACUCAGUUUUUUUAAAAAACAAAGGUUAAAAGUUAUCUUUAUGUGUAAUUGGUAAAAAAAGAAAUAAAAUGAAAUAUUAUUUUAAAAAAGAAAGUUCU
Molecule: long non-coding RNA, 1012 nt
Filed under: Phascolarctos cinereus (koala)
Lineage: Eukaryota; Metazoa; Chordata; Mammalia; Diprotodontia; Phascolarctidae
Description: lncRNA (ENSPCIG00000011862.2)
Source: RNAcentral